GACGAACGCUGGCGGCGUGCUUAACACAUGCAAGUCGAGCGGAAAGGCCCUUCGGGGUACUCGAGCGGCGAACGGGUGAGUAACACGUGAGUAAUCUGCCCUUGGCUUUGGGAUAACUACCGGAAACGGUGGCUAAUACCGGAUACGACAACCGUCUGCAUGGGCUGGUUGUGGAAAGUUUUUUCGGCCAGGGAUGUGCUCGCGGCCUAUCAGCUUGUUGGUGGGGUAAUGGCCUACCAAGGCUUCGACGGGUAGCCGGCCUGGGAGGGUGACCGGCCACACUGGGACUGAGACACGGCCCAGACUCCUACGGGAGGCAGCAGUGGGGAAUAUUGGACAAUGGGCGGAAGCCUGAUCCAGCAACGCCGCGUGAGGGAUGACGGCCUUCGGGUUGUAAACCUCUUUCAGUACCGACGAAGCGCCGAUGAUGGUGGUGACGGUAGGUACAGAAGAAGCACCGGCCAACUACGUG
This 472-nucleotide ribosomal RNA is filed under the name uncultured bacterium. RNAcentral describes it as "partial 16S ribosomal RNA". It matches the Rfam family "Bacterial small subunit ribosomal RNA", at positions 28 to 507 of the family's 1533-position model. The record is from RNAcentral.